This is a non-coding RNA of Chelonoidis abingdonii (Abingdon island giant tortoise), 140 nucleotides long. The record is from RefSeq and is a predicted model, not a curated record. NCBI's taxonomy places the organism in Eukaryota, Metazoa, Chordata, Testudines, Testudinidae.
UCUUAAGUGAGUCAACUCCUCUUCCUUUGGUCAUUUUGGAACUACGAUGAGGUAAUGCUCACCAGACUUUGAAGGGGGGGAGGCAAAGCCAAGAGGGUAGAAAGGAAGUGAUAAAAUGGAAAGACAUUUGCCAUGCUCUC